AGUGAACGCUGGCGGUAGGCCUAACACAUGCAAGUCGAACGGCAGCACAGUAAGAGCUUGCUCUUACGGGUGGCGAGUGGCGGACGGGUGCGGAAUACAUCGGAAUCUACUUUUUCGUGGGGGAUAACGUAGGGAAACUUACGCUAAUACCGCAUACGACCUACGGGUGAAAGCAGGGGAUCUUCGGACCUUGCGCGAUUGAAUGAGCCGAUGUCGGAUUAGCUAGUUGGCGGGGUAAAGGCCCACCAAGGCGACGAUCCGUAGCUGGUCAGAGAGGAUGAUGAGGCACGCUGGAGCUGAGGCACGGUCCAGACGCGAACGGGAGGCAGCAGUGGGGAAUAUGGGAGAAUGGGCGCAAGCAUGAUCCAGCAAUAGCGCGUGGGUGAAGAAGGACUUCGGGUUGUAAAGCCCUUUUGUUGGGAAAGAAAAGCAGCAGUUUAAGACCCCGCUGUUCGGACGGGACCCAAAGAAUAAGCACCGGCAAACUUCGG
Molecule: ribosomal RNA, 491 nt
Filed under: uncultured bacterium
Lineage: Bacteria
Description: partial 16S ribosomal RNA
Rfam family: Bacterial small subunit ribosomal RNA
Source: RNAcentral